CAAUAGCGUAUAUUAAAGUUGUUGCAGUUAAAAAGCUCGUAGUCGGACUUCUGGCCGUGAGCGCGGGUCCGCCGCAAGGUGUGCACUCGCGUUGGCGGCCAUCCUCUCGAGGAGGCGGCGUGCUCUUUAUUGAGUGUGUCGUCGACUCGGGACCUUUACUUUGAAAAAAUUAGAGUGUUCAAAGCAGGCCUUCGCUUGAAUACAUUAGCAUGGAAUAAUGGAAUAGGACUUUGGUUCUAUUUUGUUGGUUUCUAGGACCGAAGUAAUGAUUAAUAGGGAUAGUUGGGGGCAUUAGUAUUUAAUUGUCAGAGGUGAAAUUCUUGGAUUUAUGAAAGACUAACAUCUGCGAAAGCAUUUGCCAAGGAUGUUUUCAUUG
This 376-nucleotide ribosomal RNA is filed under the name uncultured eukaryote. RNAcentral describes it as "partial 18S ribosomal RNA". It matches the Rfam family "Eukaryotic small subunit ribosomal RNA", at positions 592 to 975 of the family's 1831-position model. The record is from RNAcentral.